GCUUACGGCCAUACCACCCUGAACACGCCCGAUCUCGCGAUCUCGGAAGCUAAGCAGGGUCGGGCCUGGUUAGUACUUGGAUGGGAACCGCCUGGGAAUACCAGGUGCUGUAAGCU
Molecule: ribosomal RNA, 116 nt
Filed under: Labrus bergylta (ballan wrasse)
Lineage: Eukaryota; Metazoa; Chordata; Actinopteri; Labriformes; Labridae
Source: RNAcentral